This 72-nucleotide transfer RNA is filed under the name Bos taurus (domestic cattle). It matches the Rfam family "tRNA". From Rfam's summary of the family: Transfer RNA (tRNA) molecules are approximately 80 nucleotides in length. Their secondary structure includes four short double-helical elements and three loops (D, anti-codon, and T loops). Further hydrogen bonds mediate the characteristic L-shaped molecular structure. tRNAs have two regions of fundamental functional importance: the anti-codon, which is responsible for specific mRNA codon recognition, and the 3' end, to which the tRNAs corresponding amino acid is attached (by aminoacyl-tRNA synthetases). tRNAs cope with the degeneracy of the genetic code in two manners: having more than one tRNA (with a specific anti-codon) for a particular amino acid; and 'wobble' base-pairing, i.e. permitting non-standard base-pairing at the 3rd anti-codon position. RNAcentral also lists the same sequence under 1 other name. Lineage: Eukaryota; Metazoa; Chordata; Mammalia; Artiodactyla; Bovidae. The record is from Rfam by way of RNAcentral.
UCCUUCAUAGCUCAGUUGGUAAAGAAUCUGCUUGCAAUGCAGGAGACCCUGGUUUGAUUCCUGGGGGGAGAA